RNAcentral lists this ribosomal RNA (497 nucleotides) under uncultured bacterium. RNAcentral describes it as "partial 16S ribosomal RNA". It matches the Rfam family "Bacterial small subunit ribosomal RNA", at positions 28 to 507 of the family's 1533-position model. The record is from RNAcentral.
GAUGAACGCUGGCGGCGUGCCUAAUACAUGCAAGUCGAGCGAACGGACGAGAAGCUUGCUUCUCUGAUGUUAGCGGCGGACGGGUGGGUAACACGUGGAUAACCUACCUAUAAGACUGGGAUAACUUCGGGAAACCGUAGCUAAUACCGGAUAAUAUUUUGAACCGCAUGGUUCAAAAGUGAAAGACGGUCUUGCUGUCACUUAUAGAUGGAUCCGCGCUGCAUUAGCUAGUUGGUAAGGUAACGGCUUGCCAAGGCAACGAUGCAUAGCCGACCUGAGAGGGUGAUCGGCCACACUGGAACUGAGACACGGUCCAGACUCCUACGGGAGGCAGCAGUAGGGAAUCUUCCGCAAUGGGCGAAAGCCUGACGGAGCAACGCCGCGUGAGUGAUGAAGGUCUUCGGAUCGUAAAACUCUGUUAUUAGGGAAGAACAUAUGUGUAAGUAACUGUGCACAUCUUGACGGUACCUAAUCAGAAAGCCACGGCUAACUACGUG